Molecule: ribosomal RNA, 253 nt
Filed under: uncultured bacterium
Lineage: Bacteria
Description: partial 16S ribosomal RNA
Rfam family: Bacterial small subunit ribosomal RNA
Source: RNAcentral
UACGGAGGGUGCAAACGUUGCUCGGAAUCAUUGGGCGUAAAGCGCACGUAGGCGGCCUGUUAAGUCGGAUGUGAAAGCCCCGGGCUCAACCCGGGAAGUGCAUUCGAAACUGACAGGCUUGAAUAUGGAAGAGGGUCGCGGAAUUCCCGGUGUAGAGGUGAAAUUCGUAGAUAUCGGGGGGAACACCAGUGGCGAAGGCGGCGACCUGGGCCAAUAUUGACGCUGAGGUGCGAAAGCGUGGGGAGCAAACAGG